AGUGAAAUAUUACAGGUAAUAGUUUUAUUCAAAUAUUUAUCUAACAGAAGGGCUGUGAUUCCCAAUCGCUGAACAAAUUCUGUUGCGCUUACUUUUCUGUUUCGAAGAAUACAAACAAUAACCGCCGCAGCUAGUUUAAAGAAAAAGUUUACUUCGCAAUUCCUAUAAAAACAUUAAGUACUGCCGAGUACACUAUCAAUACCUUUCACAAUAAUCUUUCAACAGAACUGAAUUCCGUUGUCUUUCCUGUACUCUCUGUUUUGUCCGGCAUUAUGAACGUUUUCGUGACCUUGUUGCUGACGGUUGCCAUUUCGGCUUUUUCGAGCGCUCCGCCGGCCGACGAGGAUUCAUCAUCAGCGUCAGCGAAAGAGCGUCCAAAAAUAUCCGACAGUGCCCGGGUUCUCUCCCGAAACAGGAACAGCCAGGCCAAAAGCGACCCAGGGCGCCGAAGUGGCGCUGCCGGAUAAUCAAGAGCAGAUCGGCGAUGAGGACUGGAACCCGUAAUACCGGUGAAGGUGAAAGGAGUUGUUGACAACUACGACUUGAAGACAGACGAGUAUACCACUACGCCAGCGCAAGAAGAAGGAACUUAUGCUGUUCCUUUAGAAAUGGUCUAAAUCCGUGAUUAGGCAGCAACGCAAGCAAGAAUGCCCUGAAAAGCAAUUUAUAUUGAUAAACAAAAACGUAAUUUACAUAUAUUUCGAGCGCGGGUGUAUACAAAGCGAAUUGGUCAUUGUGUACGUAGAAGCAGUGUCGGGUAUUCCGUGUCGACUUUUAUCGUGUCGGGGGAACUACGUAAAUUUUUGUAAUACUUUAAUAAUGCAAGUUCACAGUAACCAUCUGGCAGAAAAA
Paramacrobiotus metropolitanus is the source of this 852-nucleotide long non-coding RNA. RefSeq lists it as uncharacterized. NCBI's taxonomy places the organism in Eukaryota, Metazoa, Tardigrada, Eutardigrada, Parachela, Macrobiotidae. The record is from RefSeq and is a predicted model, not a curated record. The transcript is spliced from 3 exons.